This is a long non-coding RNA of Melanotaenia boesemani (Boeseman's rainbowfish), 272 nucleotides long. RefSeq lists it as uncharacterized. The transcript is spliced from 3 exons. The record is from RefSeq and is a predicted model, not a curated record. NCBI's taxonomy places the organism in Eukaryota, Metazoa, Chordata, Actinopteri, Atheriniformes, Melanotaeniidae.
CUGUUGUUGUUCAUUGUUGAGGUGUCAAGAGUCCUUUUCUUUAGGAGUAGCUUAAUGACAGCUAUCUUUAGUGGCUUGGGAAAAAUGAUGCCUGAUGCCAGUGAGCUGUUAGCUAUCAGCAGAAGAUCACUUUCCACUGAGGUAAAAACUGUUUUUAAAAAGUCGGAUGGUAUCAUGUCCAGAGUGCAUGUUGUUGAUGUCAAAUGUCAAACUAUUUCUUGUAGGACUUUUAAAUCGACCACAUUAAAUUGUGAUAUAACAUCAGAGAUAUU